This 479-nucleotide ribosomal RNA is filed under the name uncultured bacterium. RNAcentral describes it as "bacterial SSU rRNA". It matches the Rfam family "Bacterial small subunit ribosomal RNA", at positions 39 to 533 of the family's 1533-position model. The record is from RNAcentral.
GCCCUUCAGGCCUAACACAUGCAAGUCGAGCGAAGGGAGUACUACGGUACGAACUUAGCGGCGGACGGGUGAGUAACGCGUGGACAAUCUACCCUGUAGACUGGGAUAACACCUCGAAAGGGGUGCUAAUACCGGAUAAUGUCGAGAAGCGGCAUCGCUUUUCGAAGAAAGGAGAGAAUCCGCUAUAGGAGGAGUCCGCGUCCCAUUAGCUAGUUGGUGAGGGUAACGGCCCACCAAGGCGACGAUGGGUAGCCGGCCUGAGAGGGUGAACGGCCACACUGGAACUGAGACACGGUCCAGACUCCUACGGGAGGCAGCAGUGGGGAAUAUUGUGCAAUGGGGGAAACCCUGACACAGCGACGCCGCGUGAGUGAAGAAGGCCUUCGGGUCGUAAAGCUCAAUAGUAUGGGAAGAAAGAAAUGACGGUACCAUACGAAAGCCCCGGCUAACUACGUGCCAGCAGCCGCGGUAAUAAGGGC